This 253-nucleotide ribosomal RNA is filed under the name uncultured bacterium. RNAcentral's name for it is "partial 16S ribosomal RNA". It matches the Rfam family "Bacterial small subunit ribosomal RNA", at positions 524 to 776 of the family's 1533-position model. The record is from RNAcentral.
UACGUAGGGUGCAAGCGUUGUCCGGAAUUAUUGGGCGUAAAGAGCUUGUAGGCGGUUUGUCGCGUCUGCUGUGAAAUUUCGGGGCUCAACCCCGAACUUGCAGUGGGUACGGGCAGACUAGAGUGUGGUAGGGGAGACUGGAAUUCCUGGUGUAGCGGUGAAAUGCGCAGAUAUCAAGAGGAACACCGAUGGCGAAGGCAGGUCUCUGGGCCACUACUGACGCUGAGAAGCGAAAGCAUGGGGAGCGAACAGG